RNAcentral lists this long non-coding RNA (1017 nucleotides) under Gadus morhua (Atlantic cod). RNAcentral describes it as "lncRNA (ENSGMOG00000036510.1)". The record is from RNAcentral. Lineage: Eukaryota; Metazoa; Chordata; Actinopteri; Gadiformes; Gadidae.
AUGCAUGUCUGCCACAGACUAUUUGGUCUGAUGGCGUCAGCCCUGCUGGCGGUUCCCCUUGGCAGGCUGUAUAAGAAGGGUUUUCUACGUUGGAUGUCGAGACUCGGUCUGGAGGGCCCACGAAUUCAUGCACACCGCCGCAUAUUUGUCCCAGUAGACUGCGCACUGGUGUUUCGCCAGUGGAAACAUCUGUAUUUCCUUACACAGGGCAUGCAACUUGGCACAAUUUGUGCGAGGAAAGUGGUUGCCACCGAUGCGUCUCUAGGGAGGUGGGGUUACCACCAACGAAGGGCAAUCGGUGAACGGCCAAUGGAGAUCGGAACUGUACUCUGUUCACAUCAAUGUUCUCGAACUUAUCGCAGUGUUCCUAGCGCUGGGACAUUUUCUGCCGUAUGUAACAGACACUCAUGUUCUGGUAAGGACAGACAAUACAACGGUAGUGGCCUACAUCAACAAGCAGGGAACUUUGCGCUCCCUUCAACUACACAGGCUGGCACACAAACUGAUCCUCUGGAGCAGCACCAAUCUACUCUCACUCAGGGCAAUGCAUGUGCCUGGAGUGAUGAACCACGGCGCAGAUUUACUCUCACAAGGUCACCCUCCUUAUGGAGAGUGGAGACCUCACCAGGAGGUGAUGAAACCACUCGGAACCACCACGGGUGCCCGUCAGUAGACUUGUUUGCCUCCAGAGAGAACACACAAUGUCCCCUGUUAUUCUCUCUGAACGAUCCACAGGCUCCGCUCGGGGUGGACGCAUUGGCGCACACGUGGCCACGCACACUCCUUUACGCAUUUCCCCCGUUGGUUCUGAUAACCCCCACAUUAGACAGAGUGAGGAACAAUGGUCUAAUUGCUAUUCUGGUAGCGCCGAAUUGGCCUCAGAAACAGUGGUUGGCGGAGAUAACGCAAAUGCUUUAUUCUCAGCCGCUGCGACUCCCGUUGCGCAGGAAUCCCAGGCUCGGGGGGACAUUUUUCAUCCUCACCCAGAACGUCUGGCUCUCUGGGCUUGGCCUUUGA